UUCUACACGGGUAGAUUAGAGCGCCGCACACAAACAUUGUAGCCUCUCAAUGAGCCUGCCUUCCACGCCCACAUGUGGUGCUGCUCGUUGAAUGAGACACUUGGACAGUCUUGGAGAGAGGAGCUCCAAUUUCAUGAGAUGCAUGAGUCGAAGAUGGCAGCAAGUCCAAGAAUGAUGUACCAGUACAGCCCAACUUGAAUAUAUUCCCAACCAUUUUGAUGAAGGGGGACAGAAGACGGAGCUUCAGGCCAAACUGGUCUAAUCUUCAUCCAUGGUAUCCUGAGUAUUCUGUCAUGAUGGACUCUACAUGUUGAUAUGCAUGUAGAUAUGUUUAACUUUGUAUUGCCCUACCUCUCUUGCACCUGCACUCAUUAUUGUGCAAAAUAAAUGUUUAUAUGAUUUUAAAGUAAAAUAAAGCGUAUAAUCUUUAAAUAUCA
Long non-coding RNA from Perca flavescens (yellow perch), 437 nucleotides. RefSeq lists it as uncharacterized. The transcript is spliced from 2 exons. NCBI's taxonomy places the organism in Eukaryota, Metazoa, Chordata, Actinopteri, Perciformes, Percidae. The record is from RefSeq and is a predicted model, not a curated record.